UACGAAGGGGGCUAGCGUUGCUCGGAAUUACUGGGCGUAAAGGGCGCGUAGGCGGAUGUUUAAGUCAGAUGUGAAAGCCCAGGGCUCAACCUUGGAACUGCCUUUGAUACUGGACAUCUUGAGUACGGGAGAGGUGAGUGGAACUCCGAGUGUAGAGGUGAAAUUCGUAGAUAUUCGGAAGAACACCAGUGGCGAAGGCGACUCACUGGCCCGUUACUGACGCUGAGGCGCGAAAGCGUGGGGAGCAAACAGG
This 253-nucleotide ribosomal RNA is filed under the name uncultured bacterium. RNAcentral's name for it is "partial 16S ribosomal RNA". It matches the Rfam family "Bacterial small subunit ribosomal RNA", at positions 524 to 776 of the family's 1533-position model. The record is from RNAcentral.